This is a non-coding RNA of Bacteroidetes bacterium GWE2_40_15, 329 nucleotides long. The record is from Rfam. Lineage: Bacteria; Pseudomonadati; Bacteroidota.
CCGGUGGGUCGCUUUGUCGCCUUUGCGUUUGCAGGGGAGGAAAGUCCGGACAGGAUAGAGCAAGACUCUGUGGAAAGCACAGCUGGGGGUAACUUUAGGCAAAUCGUAACAGAAAACAACCGCCCUCUUAGGGGGGUAAGGGUGAAAACGCGGGGUAAGAGCCCACGACUCAUUAUGGCGACAUUGUGAGGGUACGAACAGUCUCCUGCAAGGCCACAUAUACCGGUGAUUGAGGGCUGCUCGCCCGAUGCCGGGGGGUAGGCUGCAUCAGAUAGAUGACAGAGGCUUCGUAAGGAGUACAGAAUCCGGCUUACAGACCCACCUUUUUU